Long non-coding RNA from Ailuropoda melanoleuca (giant panda), 1652 nucleotides. RefSeq lists it as uncharacterized. NCBI's taxonomy places the organism in Eukaryota, Metazoa, Chordata, Mammalia, Carnivora, Ursidae. The record is from RefSeq and is a predicted model, not a curated record. The transcript is spliced from 2 exons.
CGCCGGCGGCCCCACGCCUGCUCCGCCCCUCGCUCCGCCCCGUCACCGCAGAGCCGCGGGCGGGAGAGGGGAGGGGCCUGGAAGAACCUGGGGGCCCCGGGCGGUCGCGUGACUCCGGGAUAGCGUUAUCUGGAUUUUGCAAGCAACUGCCUCCGGGAGGGACCCUUUGGACAGGCAAUCGGAGGCCUGGCUUUCAGCAGCUUGAUAACGCGCCCCGGGGUUGGACUUUAACAACGGUCUCGUUGCUUCCGUGCUGCUUUGAGACGACAGAAGGGGAAGUUGAGACCAGAUACACCUAAGUGAAGGAGAUAGAAUGCUAGCUCUGCGUCCCGGGCUGUCCGCAAAACUAAUCCAGCGGUCCGCGAAGUGUGGCCCCUGGACCAACUGUAUACCUGGUACUUGUCAGAAAUGAAAGUUCCAGGGCAUCACCCAGAAACACUCAAUCAGAAACUCUAGGAAUGAGGUUCAGAAAUCUGCAUUUUUCCAAAUGUUCCAGGUUAUUCCAGCGCGUGCUUGAAUUUGAGAACUACUGUGCUAGUUUUAGAGGUAUGGUUCAACUGUGACAAAAUCAAUUUUGAUUACCAACCUGCAAAGCACCUGGGUUUGCGGAAUCCUACUUCACGGCUGGGUUUUGAGAGAUCAGUCCUUGAAACAUGGGGAAAAGCACUGAUAACCACAGAAACAAAACUGAUCCUUCACAAAAGGUAGUUUGAGAAGCACAGAGGCCUCAUCUGUAGCCUAAGAACAAUGACGGAGAGAGAGAUGUGUGGCCCAGUAAAACAGAAGAAAACCCUGUGUUUCUACGCUAACAGGGCUUUGUGCACCCGAGAAUCCAUCUCAGCCCCUUUGACCAGUCUCGUUCCCCUUAUGGUCCUAACAAAGCUUUGCUAUUCAGCAAAUUUCAAGUCUCUAUGUCAGUUCUGCCCUGUAUUUCAGCAUAAAAAUUCAACAAACUUUACUUUUCUAGUAUUUAGAAAAUUCUAUUACAAUACUUGUAAUUUGGAAUAGCUUUUAGGAGUAUUAAAUGAUCCAUGUUAAAGGCAAGGAAAAAACAAAGCCUCCACUAAGAAGACAUGGCGCCUAAAUACAAUGCAUGAUCUCGGCUGGGGAGGGGGCGGGGGGGUGGAUAGCUAAGCAAGACAUUACUGGGACAAUUAAUGAAAGUUGAAUAUAGACUAGGGAUUAAAAAAUAAUAUUGUAUCAAUAUUAAAGUUCCUAAUUUUGAUAAUGAUACUGUGGCUAUGUUCUUAGGAAAUACACUGAAACAUUUAGGGGUAGAGGGGUAUAACUUACUCUCAAAUGGUAAUAAUAAUAUGUAUCUAUUUACAUCUAUAUAAAUAUGUAUUAUCCAUAGUAUACACAUAGAUUACAUGUCUAUGAUGAGACAGCAAAUUAUGGAACAAAUAAGGCAAAAUGUUAACUAUUAAUGAAUUAGGAAUAGGGCAUCCAGGAAUUCUUAUGUCGAAAUACAAAGUUAUUUAAAAAACAGAAAAAUAAAGUCUCCAGCCUACUGAUGUGGGUAGUUCUGCUAUGUAGCCAAUCCUUAUCUUUCCCACGUCUUCAAGUCCUGAGACUUGUAUCCCGGGGUUAAGUUGUGCAACCAACUGAUGGGUAUGGUUAUGAAACAAUAAAAAGAUAAAGUUGUGAAAUAA